UACGGGGGGGGUAAGCGUUGUUCGGAAUUACUGGGCGUAAAGGGCUCGUAGGCGGCCAACUAAGUCAGACGUGAAAUCCCUCAGCUUAACUGGGGAACUGCGUUUGAUACUGGAUGGCUUGGAUCCGGAAGAGGGAUGCGGAAUUCCAGGUGUAGCGGUGAAAUGCGUAGAUAUCUGGAGGAACACCGGUGGCGAAGGCGGCAUCCUGGGCCGGUAUUGACGCUGAGGAGCGAAAGCCAGGGGAGCAAACGGG
This 253-nucleotide ribosomal RNA is filed under the name uncultured bacterium. RNAcentral's name for it is "partial 16S ribosomal RNA". It matches the Rfam family "Bacterial small subunit ribosomal RNA", at positions 524 to 776 of the family's 1533-position model. The record is from RNAcentral.